RNAcentral lists this ribosomal RNA (524 nucleotides) under Crawfordia sp. MFW-1996. RNAcentral describes it as "partial 28S ribosomal RNA". It matches the Rfam family "Eukaryotic large subunit ribosomal RNA", at positions 646 to 964 of the family's 3401-position model. The record is from RNAcentral. Lineage: Eukaryota; Metazoa; Arthropoda; Insecta; Strepsiptera; Stylopidae.
GACCCGUCUUGAACCACGGAGUCUAACAAGUAUGCGAGUUAUUGGUAGUGUUUUUCGUUAUUGGUUUUUCGGUCGAAUUGAAGUUCUUUUCGGAGGAUGGAUAAUUCGAUCGGGAUUUAAUAUCGAAAAUUUUUUAUAGAAUUUGAAAACCAAAAGCACAAUGAAAGUGAAAAAAGUGAAUUUGUCGGGUUCGUUUGGAUUUGAGAAAUUCACUUUAAAGUGAUGAAAUUUUUUUCAGUCUUGCACGCGCAGCAGCAGCAGCUGCUGUGUGAGAGCGGCGGAAUGAUUGCAAUCACUGAAUAUUUAGGACACGUAAAAUUUUCGAAUUUUACGCAGUCGACAGUCGAAAUAUAUCAAGAGCAUACUUGUUGGGACCCGAAAGAUGGUGAACUAUACCUGGCCAGGAUGAAGUCAGGAGAAAUUCUGAUGGAAGUCCGUAGCGAUUCUGACGUGCAAAUCGAUCGUCAGAGCUGGGUAUAGGGGCGAAAGACUAAUCGACCCAUCUAGUAGCUGGUUCCUUCCGA